CCUACGGGUGGCAGCAGUGAGGAAUAUUGGUCAAUGGACGCAAGUCUGAACCAGCCAUGCCGCGUGCAGGAAGACGGCUCUAUGUGUUGUAAACCGCUUUUGUCCGAGGACAAAUGCCGGUACUUGUACCCGGUUGAAAGUAUCUUACGAAUAAGGAUCGGCUAACUCCGUGCCAGCAGCCGCGGUAAUACGGAGGAUUCAAGCGUUAUCCGGAUUUAUUGGGUUUAAAGGGUGCGCAGGCGGCCUGUUAAGUCAGCGGUAAAAGCCCGGGGCUCAACCCCGGAGAGCCGUUGAAACUGGCGGGCUGGAGUGGGAGAGAAGUAGGCGGAAUGCGUGGUGUAGCGGUGAAAUGCUUAGAUAUCGCGCAGAACGCCGAUUGCGAAGGCAGCGUACCGGAUCCAGACUGACGCUGAGGCACGAAAGCGUGGGUAUCGAACAGGAUUAGAUACCCCAGUAGUC
Molecule: ribosomal RNA, 459 nt
Filed under: uncultured bacterium
Lineage: Bacteria
Description: partial 16S ribosomal RNA
Rfam family: Bacterial small subunit ribosomal RNA
Source: RNAcentral